This 645-nucleotide unclassified non-coding RNA is filed under the name uncultured Prochlorococcus sp. Its description in RNAcentral is "partial 16S-23S ribosomal RNA intergenic spacer; may also contain 16S ribosomal RNA and 23S ribosomal RNA". The stretch from base 304 to 376 matches the Rfam family "tRNA". The record is from RNAcentral. Lineage: Bacteria; Bacillati; Cyanobacteriota; Cyanophyceae; Synechococcales; Prochlorococcaceae.
UUGUGGAGGAGGACGCCGAAGGUAGGGCUAAUGACUGGGGUGAAGUCGUAACAAGGUAGCCGUACCGGAAGGUGCGGCUGGAUCACCUCCUAACAGGGAGACAACAAAAUGUUAAAUAUUAAUUUUGUCACCUUAGGUCGAUCGGUAUCUCACAUCCUUAAUUUAUUAAGGAUUUUAUUUCCUAAGUUUUUUCUAGGUCACACCCAUUACUUUUCCUGGGCCAUUAGCUCAGGUGGUUAGAGCGCACCCCUGAUAAGGGUGAGGUCCCUGGUUCAAGUCCAGGAUGGCCCAUAUCUCUAUGUUGGGGGUAUAGCUCAGUUGGUAGAGCGCCUGCUUUGCAAGCAGGAUGUCAGCGGUUCGAGUCCGCUUACCUCCACUGAUUACCACCUCUUCCAUAUUCAUAAAAAGGAAAUGUUUUGAGAAGUGAUCAAAUUCUGAACGAAUCUAGCUUCCUAAUCAAACUUAUUAAGAUGCUGGACUCAUUGAAUUAAAUUCAUUGUUUUCAGAGAACCUUGACAACUGCAUAGAUUAUUUUUAAAGACAAUAAGCAUCUUUAAUGAUGCAGAUUUAUUAUUUGUGCGAAUGCAUUAAUAACAAUUCUAUUAAGCUGAUGCUUCAAUUUUGAAGUUAUUGGUCAAGCUACAA